Molecule: ribosomal RNA, 460 nt
Filed under: uncultured bacterium
Lineage: Bacteria
Description: partial 16S ribosomal RNA
Rfam family: Bacterial small subunit ribosomal RNA
Source: RNAcentral
CCUACGGGCGGCAGCAGUGAGGAAUAUUGGUCAAUGGACGAGAGUCUGAACCAGCCAAGUAGCGUGAAGGAUGACUGCCCUAUGGGUUGUAAACUUCUUUUAUAUGGGAAUAAAAUGUUCCACGUGUGGGAUUUUGUAUGUACCAUAUGAUUAAGGAUCGGCUAACUCCGUGCCAGCAGCCGCGGUAAUACGGAGGAUCCGAGCGUUAUCCGGAUUUAUUGGGUUUAAAGGGAGCGUAGGUGGAUUGUUAAGUCAGUUGUGAAAGUUUGCGGCUCAACCGUAAAAUUGCAGUUGAAACUGGCAGUCUUGAGUACAGUAGAGGUGGGCGGAAUUCGUGGUGUAGCGGUGAAAUGCUUAGAGAUCACGAAGAACACCGAUUGCGAAGGCAGUUCACUAGACUGCAACUGACACUGAGGCUCGAAAGUGUGGGUAUCAAACAGGAUUAGAUACCCGGGUAGUC